This 253-nucleotide ribosomal RNA is filed under the name uncultured bacterium. Its description in RNAcentral is "partial 16S ribosomal RNA". It matches the Rfam family "Bacterial small subunit ribosomal RNA", at positions 524 to 776 of the family's 1533-position model. The record is from RNAcentral.
UACGGAGGGUGCAAGCGUUAUCCGGAUUCACUGGGUUUAAAGGGUGCGUAGGCGGGCAGGUAAGUCAGUGGUGAAAUCCCCGAGCUUAACUUGGGAACUGCCAUUGAUACUAUCAGUCUUGAAUACCGUGGAGGUCAGCGGAAUAUGUCAUGUAGCGGUGAAAUGCUUAGAUAUGACAUAGAACACCAAUUGCGAAGGCAGCUGGCUACACGAAUAUUGACACUGAGGCACGAAAGCGUGGGGAUCAAACAGG